Molecule: unclassified non-coding RNA, 196 nt
Filed under: Ambisporaceae sp.
Lineage: Eukaryota; Fungi; Glomeromycota; Glomeromycetes; Archaeosporales; Ambisporaceae
Description: partial contains 5.8S ribosomal RNA and internal transcribed spacer 2
Rfam family: 5.8S ribosomal RNA (bases 1-71)
Source: RNAcentral
GUGAAUCAUCAAAUUUUUGAACGCAUAUUGCACUCCCUGGUAUUCCGGAGAGUAUGCCUAUUUGAGGGUCAUUUGAAAUAAUAUUCAUUCCAAGAUUUCUUGGAUUUUAAAUUGGGUCGUCGAUUUUUUGUGGUCUCUUAAAAUCUAAUACAUGCCCAUUUUCUUGGGCUGUGUGCUAUUCUCAGUUACUACGCGU